RNAcentral lists this ribosomal RNA (581 nucleotides) under Escherichia coli. RNAcentral describes it as "partial 23S ribosomal RNA". It matches the Rfam family "Bacterial large subunit ribosomal RNA", at positions 2217 to 2797 of the family's 2925-position model. Lineage: Bacteria; Pseudomonadati; Pseudomonadota; Gammaproteobacteria; Enterobacterales; Enterobacteriaceae. The record is from RNAcentral.
AUGUUCUAACGUUGACCCGUAAUCCGGGUUGCGGACAGUGUCUGGUGGGUAGUUUGACUGGGGCGGUCUCCUCCUAAAGAGUAACGGAGGAGCACGAAGGUUGGCUAAUCCUGGUCGGACAUCAGGAGGUUAGUGCAAUGGCAUAAGCCAGCUUGACUGCGAGCGUGACGGCGCGAGCAGGUGCGAAAGCAGGUCAUAGUGAUCCGGUGGUUCUGAAUGGAAGGGCCAUCGCUCAACGGAUAAAAGGUACUCCGGGGAUAACAGGCUGAUACCGCCCAAGAGUUCAUAUCGACGGCGGUGUUUGGCACCUCGAUGUCGGCUCAUCACAUCCUGGGGCUGAAGUAGGUCCCAAGGGUAUGGCUGUUCGCCAUUUAAAGUGGUACGCGAGCUGGGUUUAGAACGUCGUGAGACAGUUCGGUCCCUAUCUGCCGUGGGCGCUGGAGAACUGAGGGGGGCUGCUCCUAGUACGAGAGGACCGGAGUGGACGCAUCACUGGUGUUCGGGUUGUCAUGCCAAUGGCACUGCCCGGUAGCUAAAUGCGGAAGAGAUAAGUGCUGAAAGCAUCUAAGCACGAAACUUGC